This 255-nucleotide long non-coding RNA is filed under the name Mytilus galloprovincialis (Mediterranean mussel). The record is from RNAcentral. Lineage: Eukaryota; Metazoa; Mollusca; Bivalvia; Mytilida; Mytilidae.
AAAGGGAGCUUCAGUCAAUAUAUAUAAACAAUACACCAACGUUUCAUGAGAACUGCUGAAAACAUUUUUGUGUUAAUGUCUGAAAACUGGAAAAUCACCCCUUUUUAAUUAAUAAAACCCGUUAACUCGGAAACGUAAAAUCUAAAAUUUAUAAAAAUUGAAAGUUACCUCAUGUUAAUAGAUAUAAACAAUUCACCAAAAUUCCUUGCUUUGUGAAAGCAUUUUUGAGAUAUUAUCAGAAAACUGAAAUAAAAC